GAUGAACGCUAGCGGCAGGCUUAAUACAUGCAAGUCGAGGGGCAGCAUGUCCCGACGCAAGUCGGGAUGAUGGCGACCGGCAAACGGGUGCGGAACACGUACAGAACCUUCUUUAAGUGGGAAUAGCCCAGAGAAAUUUGGAUUAAUACCCCGUAACAUUAUGAAAUGGCAUCAUUUUAUAAUUAUAGAUUUAUCGCUUAGAGAUGGCUGUGCGGCUGAUUAGGAGUUGGGCGGGGUAACGGCCCACCAAGCCUGCGAUCAGUAACUGGUGUGAGAGCACGACCAGUCACACGGGCACUGAGACACGGGCCCGACUCCUACGGGAGGCAGCAGUAAGGAAUAUUGGUCAAUGGACGAAAGUCUGAACCAGCCAUGCC
RNAcentral lists this ribosomal RNA (377 nucleotides) under uncultured bacterium. RNAcentral's name for it is "bacterial SSU rRNA". It matches the Rfam family "Bacterial small subunit ribosomal RNA", at positions 28 to 398 of the family's 1533-position model. The record is from RNAcentral.